UACGGAGGUGGCAAGCGUUGUUCGGAAUUAUUGGGCGUAAAGGGCGCGUAGGCGGCGAGGCAAGUCAGAUGUGAAAGCCCCGGGCUUAACUUGGGAAUUGCAUCUGAAACUGCUUUGCUUGAGUCCUGGAGGGGGUAGUGGAAUUCCCAGUGUAGCGGUGAAAUGCGUAGAUAUUGGGAGGAACACCUGCGGCGAAGGCGGCUACCUGGACAGUGACUGACGCUGAGGCGCGAAAGCUAGGGGAGCGAAC
Molecule: ribosomal RNA, 250 nt
Filed under: uncultured bacterium
Lineage: Bacteria
Description: partial 16S ribosomal RNA
Rfam family: Bacterial small subunit ribosomal RNA
Source: RNAcentral